CCCUUAGAUGUUCUGGGCCGCACGCGCGCUACACUGAUGCAUUCAACGAGUCUAAAACCUGCUCUGAUAGGGGUGGGUAAUCUUUUGAAUGUGCAUCGUGAUUGGGAUAGAUGAUUGCAAUUUUUCAUCUUCAACGAGGAAUGCCUAGUAAACGCAAGUCAUCAGCUUGCAUUGAUUACGUCCCUGCCCUUUGUACACACCGCCCGUCGCUCCUACCGAUUGAAUGAUCCGAUGAAUAUCAUGGAUUGAGGAUGCAAGUAGGUUCGCCUAUCUUCAUCUUUGAGAAGUGAAGUAAAUCUUAUCAUUUAGAGGAAGGAGAAGUCGUAACA
RNAcentral lists this ribosomal RNA (329 nucleotides) under uncultured eukaryote. RNAcentral describes it as "partial 18S ribosomal RNA". It matches the Rfam family "Eukaryotic small subunit ribosomal RNA", at positions 1470 to 1796 of the family's 1831-position model. The record is from RNAcentral.